UACGUAGGGGGCUAGCGUUGUCCGGAAUCAUUGGGCGUAAAGAGCGUGUAGGCGGCCCGGUAAGUCCGCUGUGAAAGUCCAGGGCUCAACCCUGGGAUGCCGGUGGAUACUGUCGGGCUCGAGUCCGGAAGAGGAGUGUGGAAUUCCUGGUGUAGCGGUGAAAUGCGCAGAUAUCAGGAAGAACACCCGUGGCGAAGGCGGCUCUCUGGGACGGUACUGACGCUGAGACGCGAAAGCGUGGGGAGCGAACAGG
RNAcentral lists this ribosomal RNA (253 nucleotides) under uncultured bacterium. Its description in RNAcentral is "partial 16S ribosomal RNA". It matches the Rfam family "Bacterial small subunit ribosomal RNA", at positions 524 to 776 of the family's 1533-position model. The record is from RNAcentral.